GGUGGAUACGCCGGUCAUCCCCGAUCUUCCGUCGGUCGAGGAGAUCGACUAGGAGGGAUGACCGCGCCCUCGUUGGCUUUUAUCUUUUUCGUUUUUCUUCUUAGAACAAUUGUAACUGGGGCUUCGGCCCGAUUUUGUAAGCUCCUUUUGACCUUGAAUGAAAUCGGUCUUAGGCUUAAACUUUUUCCCUCUGUCUGUUUUUCUUUCUUUCAUGAGUUGUAGAAUG
Molecule: long non-coding RNA, 226 nt
Filed under: Elaeis guineensis (African oil palm)
Lineage: Eukaryota; Viridiplantae; Streptophyta; Magnoliopsida; Arecales; Arecaceae
Description: long non-coding RNA (EGUI_LNC075465)
Source: RNAcentral